This 429-nucleotide ribosomal RNA is filed under the name Gemmatimonadota bacterium. RNAcentral describes it as "Gemmatimonadetes bacterium partial 16S ribosomal RNA". It matches the Rfam family "Bacterial small subunit ribosomal RNA", at positions 355 to 776 of the family's 1533-position model. The record is from RNAcentral. Lineage: Bacteria; Pseudomonadati; Gemmatimonadota.
UAGGGAAUCUUCGGCAAUGGACGAAAGUCUGACCGAGCAACGCCGCGUGAGUGAAGAAGGUUUUCGGAUCGUAAAACUCUGUUGUUAGAGAAGAACAAGGACGUUAGUAACUGAACGUCCCCUGACGGUAUCUAACCAGAAAGCCACGGCUAACUACGUGCCAGCAGCCGCGGUAAUACGUAGGUGGCAAGCGUUGUCCGGAUUUAUUGGGCGUAAAGCGAGCGCAGGCGGUUUCUUAAGUCUGAUGUGAAAGCCCCCGGCUCAACCGGGGAGGGUCAUUGGAAACUGGGAGACUUGAGUGCAGAAGAGGGGAGUGGAAUUCCAUGUGUAGCGGUGAAAGGCGUAGAUAUAUGGAGGAACACCGGUGGCGAGGGCGGCUCUCUGGUCUGUAACUGACGCUGAGGCUCGAAAGCGUGGGGAGCAAACAGG